AGGAUUAACGCUGGCGGCGUGCCUAACACAUGCAAGUCGAACGAGGUAGCAAUACCUAGUGGCAGACGGGUGAGUAACGCGUGGUCAACCUACCGUUGAGUGGGGGAUAACUAGCCGAAAGGUUAGCUAAUACCGCAUACGUCUCCGAGGGGCAUCCCUUGGCGAUAAAAGGAGCAAUCCGCUCGAUGACGGGACCGCGUCCCAUUAGCUAGAUGGUGGGGUAACGGCCUACCAUGGCACCGAUGGGUAGCUGGUUUGAGAGAGCGACCAGCCACACUGGGACUGAGAAACGGCCCAGACUCCUACGGGAGGCAGCAGUGAGGAAUUUUCCGCAAUGGGCGCAAGCCUGACGGAGCGACGCCGCGUGUGGGAAGAAAGGCCUUCGGGUCGUAAACCGACUGUCGAAGGGGACGAUAAUGACGGUACCCUUGGAGGAAGCCCCGGCUAAACUACGUGCUAGCAGCCGC
RNAcentral lists this ribosomal RNA (467 nucleotides) under uncultured bacterium. Its description in RNAcentral is "SSU rRNA". It matches the Rfam family "Bacterial small subunit ribosomal RNA", at positions 26 to 518 of the family's 1533-position model. The record is from RNAcentral.